This 1351-nucleotide ribosomal RNA is filed under the name metagenome. RNAcentral's name for it is "bacterial LSU rRNA". It matches the Rfam family "Bacterial large subunit ribosomal RNA", at positions 1564 to 2925 of the family's 2925-position model. The record is from RNAcentral.
UGAGUACGAGCUGCUACGGCAGCGAAGUGGGUGAUGUCAUGCUUCCAAGAAAAGCCCUAUACCCGUUAAGGCAUGAUGGCCUGUACCCAAAACCGACACAGGUGGGGUGGUAGAGAAUACCGAGGGGCGCGAGGUAACUCUCUCUAAGGAACUCGGCAAAAUGGCCCCGUAACUUCGGGAGAAGGGGUGCCACCGCAAGGUGGUCGCAGUGAAGAGGCCCAGGCGACUGUUUACCAAAAACACAGGUCUCCGCUAAGUCGCAAGACGAUGUAUGGGGGCUGACGCCUGCCCAGUGCCGGAAGGUUAAGGAAGCUGGUCAGCGUAAGCGAAGCUAGCGACUGAAGCCCCGGUGAACGGCGGCCGUAACGAUAACGGUCCUAAGGUAGCGAAAUUCCUUGUCGGGUAAGUUCCGACCCGCACGAAAGGCGUAACGAUCUGGGCGCUGUCUCGGAGAGAGGCUCGGCGAAAUAGAAUUGUCUGUGAAGAUGCGGACUACGUGCACCCGGACAGAAAGACCCUAUGAAGCUUUACUGUAGCUUGGUAUUGUGCUCGGGCUCGGAAUGCGCAGGAUAGGUGGGAGGCUAUGAACCAUUGCUUGUGGGUGAUGGUGAGCCACUGGUGAGAUACCACUCUUUCCGAGCUAGAGUUCUAACAGCCACCCGUUAUCCGGGGGCUGGACAGUAUCAGGUGGGCAGUUUGACUGGGGCGGUCGCCUCCUAAAAGGUAACGGAGGCGCGCAAAGGUUUGCUCAGGCUGGUUGGAAAUCAGCCGACGAGUGUAAAAGCAGAAGCAAGCUUGACUGUGAGACCUACAAGUCGAACAGGGAGGAAACUCGGCUUUAGUGAUCCGACGGUUCUGCGUGGAAGGGCCGUCGCUCAACGGAUAAAAGUUACUCUAAGGAUAACAGGCUGAUCUCCCCCAAGAGUUCACAUCGACGGGGAGGUUUGGCACCUCGAUGUCGGCUCAUCGCAACCUGGGGCUGAAGUCGGUCCCAAGGGUUGGGCUGUUCGCCCAUUAAAGCGGUACGCGAGCUGGGUUCAGAACGUCGUGAGACAGUUCGGUCCAUAUCCGGUGCAUGCGCAGGAAUAUUGAGAGGAUUUCUCCCUAGUACGAGAGGACCGGGAGGAACGCACCUCUGGUGUACCAGUUAUCGUGCCAACGGUAAACGCUGGGUAGCCAUGUGCGGAGAGGAUAACCGCUGAAAGCAUCUAAGUGGGAAGCCCACCUCAAGAUGAGUAUUCCCAUGGGGUAACCCAGUAAGGUCACGGGAAGAACACCCGUUGAUAGGCUCUACGUGGAAGCGCAGUAAUGUGUGAAGCGGAGGAGUACUAAUAGACCGAGGGCUUGACCG